AUGCCGCUCCCGGCGCCGGCGGUGGACGCCGUCAUCAAGCCGCUGCCGCGGGCGCUCUCCCUCGCGGGGGCGGCGGCCGCUGCGGCCGCGACGUCUCUCCUCCUCAUUUCCGCCGUCGUCUCCCGCGCCCGGGACGACUACGCUUCGCCGCCCCCGUCCACCAGCGCCUCCACCACCGCCGCGCUCCCCCCGGCGCCCGAACCCUCGCCGCAGCACCAUGAGCACCCCCAUCCCCCGCCGCCGCCCGUCCCGCCCUGCCCGCCCAACGCCUCCCACCACACCCCCUGCCACGAGCCUCCCUCCGGCGAGCGGCACUGCCCCCCGCACCCUCCGCCGCCUCAUCCUCCGCACCCGCCCGAGGACCCACCGCCUCAUCCUCCGCCCCCGCCUCCGCACUGCCGCGUCCCCCCGCCCCCCGGGUACCAUCCGCCCCCGCCGUGGCCCGCGCGGCGGGAGCGCGCGCGGUACGCCAACGUGGAUCUGCCAGCGCUUACCGUGGCGAAGCUGGCCGCCUCUCAGGACCCCGUGCACGCGCGCGGGGAGUGGCUGGUGUUCCCCAAGGGGGCGGGGAAUUACGUCGAGCAGCUUGAGCGCGUGGUGCCGCUCCGCGGCGGCGCGGUGCGAACGGCGCUCGACAUCGGUUGCGGAGUUGCGAGCUUUGGGGACUACCUGUUGAGCUAUGGCGUCCUGACCAUGUCCAUUGCUCCGAGGGAGAGACACGGUGCGGAUGUCCAGUUCGCCUUGGAGCGUGGACUGCCCGCGAUGAUUGGAGCGCUCGGCGCUCGCAGGCUGCCUUAUCCUUCGAGGUCCUUCGACAUGGUGCACUGCGCCGACUGCCAUGUUUCAUGGACUGCUCAUGAUGGGCUGUAUAUGCUGGAAAUUGACCGUCUUCUCAGACCUGGUGGGUAUUGGGUUAUGUCCAGUCCACCCAUCAGCUGGAAAUCACCCUACAAGGGCCCCAACAAAACAAUCGAGAACCUUGAUGGUGAGCAGUUAGCUAUGGAAGAUACUGCAAAUAAGCUUUGUUGGGAAAAGGUGUCAGAUAAGGGCACACUUUCUGUUUGGAGAAAGCCUAUUAAUCAUCUCCAUUGUGCCCAAGAAGCAGAGUUCUUGAGAUCACCACCACUCUGUACAGAAGAUGACCCAGAUACUGCUUGGUAUGUAAAUAUUUCGAUGUGUAGAACUCAUCUUCCAAGAGUUGAACUUGAUGGUGGCCCGCUGGAGAAAUGGCCUCAAAGACUUGCUACAGUGCCACCAAGAAUAGCCAAUGGGGAAAUUAAGGGGAUGUCCAUCCAGGCAUACAAACAUGACUGUUCAGUUUGGAGGAGAAGAGUUGAACUCUAUGGAACAUAUUUGAAAGAUUUAUCUCAUAGGAGUUACAGAAAUGUCAUGGACAUGAAUGCUGGUUUUGGUAGCUUUGCCGCUGCCAUGUUGAAAUACCCUGUUUGGGUCAUGAACGUGGUUCCUGCAAAUAUAACAGACAACAACACCCUUGGUAUCAUCUAUGAGCGCGGCCUGAUUGGAACAUACAUGGACUGGUGUGAAGCUUUCUCUACUUAUCCACGUACAUAUGAUCUGAUACAUGCUAAUGGAGUAUUCAGCUUGUAUAUCAACAAGUGUGGUACCCUUGACAUACUGGUCGAGAUGGACCGAAUUCUCCGGCCAGGGGGCGCCACGAUAAUUCGAGACGCAGCUGAUGUUGUUCUGAAAGUGAAGGAGGCUGCUGAUCGGCUGCAAUGGCGCAGCCGGGUUGUCAACACGGACGAUGAGGGCCCAGACCCUCAGAAGCUUCUCAUCGUCGACAAUUCGCUCCAACUGCCAGGGAGCUAG
This 1830-nucleotide ribosomal RNA is filed under the name Triticum aestivum (bread wheat). RNAcentral describes it as "partial small subunit ribosomal RNA". The record is from RNAcentral. Lineage: Eukaryota; Viridiplantae; Streptophyta; Magnoliopsida; Poales; Poaceae.